This 73-nucleotide transfer RNA is filed under the name Ovis aries (sheep). It matches the Rfam family "tRNA". From Rfam's summary of the family: Transfer RNA (tRNA) molecules are approximately 80 nucleotides in length. Their secondary structure includes four short double-helical elements and three loops (D, anti-codon, and T loops). The record is from Rfam by way of RNAcentral. Lineage: Eukaryota; Metazoa; Chordata; Mammalia; Artiodactyla; Bovidae.
UCCCUGAUAGUCUAGGGCUUAAGACUCCACACUUCCAAUGCAGGGGGCACAGGUUCAAUCCCUGGCUGGGGAA